This 406-nucleotide ribosomal RNA is filed under the name uncultured bacterium. Its description in RNAcentral is "partial 16S ribosomal RNA". It matches the Rfam family "Bacterial small subunit ribosomal RNA", at positions 30 to 526 of the family's 1533-position model. The record is from RNAcentral.
AUUGAACGCUGGCGGCAGGCCUAACACAUGCAAGUCGAGCGAGCGGCGGACGGGUGAGUAAUGUAUGGGGAACUGCCCGAUAGAGGGGGAUAACUACUGGAAACGGUAGCUAAUACCGCAUACCAUCGGAUGUGCCCAUAUGGGAUUAGCUAGUAGGUGGGGUAACGGCUCACCUAGGCGACGAUCCCUAGCUGGUCUGAGAGGAUGACCAGCCACACUGGAACUGAGACACGGCCCAGACUCCUACGGGAGGCAGCAGUGGGGAAUAUUGCACAAUGGGCGCAAGCCUGAUGCAGCCAUGCCGCGUGUGUGAAGAAGGCCUUAGGGUUGUAAAGUACUUUCAGCGGGGAGGCGUUACCCGCAGAAGAAGCACCGGCUAACUCCGUGCCAGCAGCCGCGGUAAUUC